CCUACGGGAGGCAGCAGUCGAGAAUCAUUCACAAUGGGGGAAACCCUGAUGGUGCGACGCCGCGUGGGGGAAUGAAGGUCUUCGGAUUGUAAACCCCUGUCAUGUGGGAGCAAAUUAAAAAGAUAGUACCACAAUAGGAAGAGACGGCUAACUCUGUGCCAGCAGCCGCGGGAAUACAGAGGUCUCAAGCGUUGUUCGGAAUCACUGGGCGUAAAGCGUGCGUAGGCUGUUUCGUAAGUCGUGUGUGAAAGGCGCGGGCUCAACCCGCGGACGGCACAUGAUACUGCGAGACUAGAGUAAUGGAGGGGGAACCGGAAUUCUCGGUGUAGCAGUGAAAUGCGUAGAUAUCGAGAGGAACACUCGUGGCGAAGGCGGGUUCCUGGACAUUAACUGACGCUGAGGCACGAAGGCCAGGGGAGCGAAAGGGAUUAGAUACCCGAGUAGUC
RNAcentral lists this ribosomal RNA (446 nucleotides) under uncultured bacterium. RNAcentral's name for it is "partial 16S ribosomal RNA". It matches the Rfam family "Bacterial small subunit ribosomal RNA", at positions 338 to 795 of the family's 1533-position model. The record is from RNAcentral.